This 497-nucleotide ribosomal RNA is filed under the name uncultured bacterium. RNAcentral's name for it is "partial 16S ribosomal RNA". It matches the Rfam family "Bacterial small subunit ribosomal RNA", at positions 28 to 507 of the family's 1533-position model. The record is from RNAcentral.
GAUGAACGCUGGCGGCGUGCCUAAUACAUGCAAGUCGAGCGAACGGACGAGAAUCUUGCUUUUCUGAUGUUAGCGGCGGACGGGUGAGUAACACGUGGAUAACCUACCUAUAAGACUGGGAUAACUUCUGGAAACCGGAGCUAAUACCGGAUAAUAUUUUUAACCGCAUUGUUCAAAAGUGAAAGACGGUCUUGCUGUCACUUAUAGAUGGAUCCGCGCUGCAUUAGCUAGUUGGUAAGGUAACGGCUUACCAAGGCAACGAUGCAUAGCCGACCUGAGAGGGUGAUCGGCCACACUGGAACUGAGACACGGUCCAGACUCCUACGGGAGGCAGCAGUAGGGAAUCUGCAGCAAUGGGCGAAAGCCUGGCGGAGCAACGCCGCGUGAGUGAGGAAGGGCUUCGGAUCGUAAAACUCUGUUAUUAGGGAAGAACAUAUGUGUAAGUAACUGUGCACAUCUUGACGGUACCUAAGCAGAAAGCCACGGCUAACUACGUG